Molecule: ribosomal RNA, 253 nt
Filed under: uncultured bacterium
Lineage: Bacteria
Description: partial 16S ribosomal RNA
Rfam family: Bacterial small subunit ribosomal RNA
Source: RNAcentral
UACGUAGGUGGCAAGCGUUGUCCGGAAUUACUGGGUGUAAAGGGCGUGUAGGCGGGUAUGCAAGUCAGAUGUGAAAUUCCUCUGCUCAACGGAGGCGCUGCAUCUGAAACUGUAUAUCUUGAGUGCUGGAGAGGAAAGCGGAAUUCCUAGUGUAGCGGUGAAAUGCGUAGAGAUUAGGAGGAACACCAGUGGCGAAGGCGGCUUUCUGGACAGUAACUGACGACGAGGCGCGAAAGAGUGGGGAGCAAACAGG